CAGGUCAACGAGCUAUAAGUACCGAGGUAGAGAGCACACGUUCAGUGCAGCUUGACGGGCAAGAUGAUGUGCAGUCUUGCAGAUCAAGUAUGUCUGAUGAAGGUGUAUCUGCGGACGUGACCGGCAGUCACAAAGGUCUCCAGGAUUCUAC
Ornithodoros turicata is the source of this 151-nucleotide long non-coding RNA. RefSeq lists it as uncharacterized. The transcript is spliced from 4 exons. The record is from RefSeq and is a predicted model, not a curated record. Lineage: Eukaryota; Metazoa; Arthropoda; Arachnida; Ixodida; Argasidae.